UACGAAGGGGGCUAGCGUUGUUCGGAAUUACUGGGCGUAAAGCGCGCGUAGGCGGUUUUGCAAGCCAGAGGUGAAAUGCCUGAGCUUAACUUAGGAAUUGCCUUUGGGACUGCGAGGCUUUGAGGACGAGAGAGGUGAGUGGAAUUCCUAGUGUAGAGGUGAAAUUCGUAGAUAUUAGGAAGAACACCGGUGGCGAAGGCGGCCCACUGGAUCGGUACUGACGCUGAGGUGCAAAAGCGUGGGGAGCAAACAGG
Molecule: ribosomal RNA, 254 nt
Filed under: uncultured bacterium
Lineage: Bacteria
Description: partial 16S ribosomal RNA
Rfam family: Bacterial small subunit ribosomal RNA
Source: RNAcentral